GACGAACGCUUGCGGCGUGCUUAACACAUGCAAGUCGAACGGAAAGGCCCUGCUUUUGUGGGGUGCUCGAGUGGCGAACGGGUGAGUAACACGUGAGUAACCUGCCCUUGACUUUGGGAUAACUUCAGGAAACUGGGGCUAAUACCGGAUAGGAGCUCCUGCUGCAUGGUGGGGGUUGGAAAGUUUCGGCGGUUGGGGAUGGACUCGCGGCUUAUCAGCUUGUUGGUGGGGUAGUGGCUUACCAAGGCUUUGACGGGUAGCCGGCCUGAGGGGGUGACCGGCCACAUUGGGACUGAGAUACGGCCCAGACUCCUACGGGAGGCAGCAGUGGGGAAUAUUGCACAAUGGGCGGAAGCCUGAUGCAGCAACACCGCGUGCGGGAUGACGGCCUUCGGGUUGUAAACCGCUUUCGCCUGUGACGAAGCGUGAGUGACGGUAAUGGGUAAAGAAGCACCGGCUAACUACGUGCCAGCAGCCGCGGUGAUACGUAGGGUGCGAGCGUUGUCCGGAUUUAUUGGGCGUAAAGGGCUCGUAGGUGGUUGAUCGCGUCGGAAGUGUAAUCUUGGGGCUUAACCCUGAGCGUGCUUUCGAUACGGGUUGACUUGAGGAAGGUAGGGGAGAAUGGAAUUCCUGGUGGAGCGGUGGAAUGCGCAGAUAUCAGGAGGAACACCAGUGGCGAAGGCGGUUCUCUGGGCCUUUCCUGACGCUGAGGAGCGAAAGCGUGGGGAGCGAACAGGCUUAGAUACCCUGGUAGUCCACGCUGUAAACGGUGGGUACUAGGUGUGGGGUCCAUUCCACGGGUUCCGUGCCGUAGCUAACGCUUUAAGUACCCCGCCUGGGGAGUACGGCCGCAAGGCUAAAACUCAAAGGAAUUGACGGGGCCCCGCACAAGCGGCGGAGCAUGCGGAUUAAUUCGAUGCAACGCGUAGAACCUUACCUGGGUUUGACAUGGAUCGGGAGUGCUCAGAGAUGGGUGUGCCUCUUUUGGGGUCGGUUCACAGGUGGUGCAUGCCUGUCGUCAGCUCGUGUCGUGAGAUGUUGGGUUAAGUCCCGCAACGAGCGCAACCCUUGUUCACUGUUGCCAGCACGUUAUGGUGGGGACUCAGUGGAGACCGCCGGGGUCAACUCGGAGGAAGGUGGGGAUGACGUCAAGUCCUCAUGCCCCUUAUGUCCAGGGCUUCACGCAUGCUACAAUGGCUGGUACAGAGAGUGGCGAGCCUGUGAGGGUGAGCGAAUCUCGGAAAGCCGGUCUCAGUUCGGAUUGGGGUCUGCAACUCGACCUCAUGAAGUCGGAGUCGCUAGUAAUCGCAGAUCAGCAACGCUGCGGUGAAUACGUUCCCGGGGCU
This 1346-nucleotide ribosomal RNA is filed under the name uncultured bacterium. RNAcentral describes it as "bacterial SSU rRNA". It matches the Rfam family "Bacterial small subunit ribosomal RNA", at positions 28 to 1381 of the family's 1533-position model. The record is from RNAcentral.